UUUUUUUUACUCAUAAGUUUAAUAUAGGUUUUUGCUAUGCUUGUGGGUUUGGGUUUAGGGUUAAGCUAGAAUUGUAAUUAACUCCGUGGUUUUCUGUAUCAUGAACGGUUUGAUAAAAGACCCUGAAAAGACCAGGAUGUAGUGUUUUUUUCGGGGGAGUUGGUAUUUCAGUACUGCUUUGGUUUCUUUCACAAUUCUUGACCUAUUGUUGUCUAGGUUUUAAGUCUACCAUUUAG
Molecule: long non-coding RNA, 236 nt
Filed under: Marmota monax (woodchuck)
Lineage: Eukaryota; Metazoa; Chordata; Mammalia; Rodentia; Sciuridae
Source: RNAcentral